This 408-nucleotide ribosomal RNA is filed under the name uncultured bacterium. RNAcentral's name for it is "bacterial SSU rRNA". It matches the Rfam family "Bacterial small subunit ribosomal RNA", at positions 30 to 416 of the family's 1533-position model. The record is from RNAcentral.
AUUGAACGCUGGCGGCGUGCCUAACACAUGCAAGUCGAGCGGUAACAGGUGUAGCAAUACAUGCUGACGAGCGGCGAACGGGUGAGUAAUGCUUUGGAAUCUUCCCAGUAGUGGGGAAUAACCAGUCGAAAGAUUGGCUAAUACCGCAUACGUCUGUAAAGGGAAAGCGGGGGACUCGCCUCUUCUUCGGAAGAGAGGCCUCGCGCUAUUGGAUGAGCCAAAGCGGAUUAGCUAGUUGGUGGGGUAAGUGGCCUACCAAGGCGACAAUCCGUAGCUGGUCUGAGAGGACGACCAGCCGCACCGGAACUGAGACACGGUCCGGACUCCUACGGGAGGCAGCAGUGGGGGAAGUAAUUGGACAAUGGGGGAAACCCGUGAUCCAGCGACGCCGCGUGUGUGAAGAAGGCC